UACAGAGGGUGCAAGCGUUGUUCGGAAUUACUGGGCGUAAAGCGCGUGUAGGCGGUCUCGCAAGUCGGGUGUGAAAGCCCUUGGCUUAACCAAGGAACUGCAUUCGAAACUACGGGACUAGAGUAUCGGAGGGGGUGGCGGAAUUCCCGGUGUAGAGGUGAAAUUCGUAGAUAUCGGGAGGAACACCUGUGGCGAAGGCGGCCACCUGGAAGAUUACUGACGCUGAGACGCGAAAGCGUGGGGAGCAAACAGG
This 253-nucleotide ribosomal RNA is filed under the name uncultured Myxococcales bacterium. Its description in RNAcentral is "partial 16S ribosomal RNA". It matches the Rfam family "Bacterial small subunit ribosomal RNA", at positions 524 to 776 of the family's 1533-position model. The record is from RNAcentral. Lineage: Bacteria; Pseudomonadati; Myxococcota; Myxococcia; Myxococcales.